CAGCCGCCGCGGGAAUACGAAGGGUGCAAGCGUUAAUCGGAAUUACUGGGCGUAAAGCGUGCGUAGGCGGUGAGUUAAGUCUGCUGUGAAAUCCCCGGGCUCAACCUGGGAAUGGCAGUGGAUACUGGCUCGCUAGAGUGUGUCAGAGGAUGGUGGAAUUCCCGGUGUAGCGGUGAAAUGCGUAGAGAUCGGGAGGAACAUCAGUGGCGAAGGCGGCCAUCCGGGACAACACUGACGCUGAGGCACGAAAGCGUGGGGAGCAAACAGGAUUAGAUACCCCCGUAGUCCCUGUCUCUUAUAA
RNAcentral lists this ribosomal RNA (301 nucleotides) under uncultured bacterium. Its description in RNAcentral is "partial 16S ribosomal RNA". It matches the Rfam family "Bacterial small subunit ribosomal RNA", at positions 509 to 809 of the family's 1533-position model. The record is from RNAcentral.